Molecule: ribosomal RNA, 695 nt
Filed under: uncultured Staphylococcus sp.
Lineage: Bacteria; Bacillati; Bacillota; Bacilli; Caryophanales; Staphylococcaceae
Description: bacterial SSU rRNA
Rfam family: Bacterial small subunit ribosomal RNA
Source: RNAcentral
UCGAGCGAACAGACGAGGAGCUUGCUCCUCUGACGUUAGCGGCGGACGGGUGAGUAACACGUGGAUAACCUACCUAUAAGACUGGGAUAACUUCGGGAAACCGGAGCUAAUACCGGAUAAUAUAUUGAACCGCAUGGUUCAAUAGUGAAAGACGGUUUUGCUGUCACUUAUAGAUGGAUCCGCGCCGCAUUAGCUAGUUGGUAAGGUAACGGCUUACCAAGGCAACGAUGCGUAGCCGACCUGAGAGGGUGAUCGGCCACACUGGAACUGAGACACGGUCCAGACUCCUACGGGAGGCAGCAGUAGGGAAUCUUCCGCAAUGGGCGAAAGCCUGACGGAGCAACGCCGCGUGAGUGAUGAAGGCCUUCGGAUCGUAAAACUCUGUUAUUAGGGAAGAACAAAUGUGUAAGUAACUAUGCACGUCUUGACGGUACCUAAUCAGAAAGCCACGGCUAACUACGUGCCAGCAGCCGCGGUAAUACGUAGGUGGCAAGCGUUAUCCGGAAUUAUUGGGCGUAAAGCGCGCGUAGGCGGUUUUUUAAGUCUGAUGUGAAAGCCCACGGCUCAACCGUGGAGGGUCAUUGGAAACUGGAAAACUUGAGUGCAGAAGAGGAAAGUGGAAUUCCAUGUGUAGCGGUGAAAUGCGCAGAGAUAUGGAGGAACACCAGUGGCGAAGGCGACUUUCUGGUCUGUAA